RNAcentral lists this long non-coding RNA (595 nucleotides) under Nicotiana benthamiana. RNAcentral describes it as "long non-coding RNA (NBEN_LNC030755)". Lineage: Eukaryota; Viridiplantae; Streptophyta; Magnoliopsida; Solanales; Solanaceae. The record is from RNAcentral.
UAUCUGAUUUGAGCAAAUUAACAUGAUUUGGUACGUACACUUAGUUUCUCUUUUUACCUUCUGUUCUCAUUAUUCUCUUCUUCCACAGUAUAUUCUGAAGCUGUACUUUAAGGAUUUAUCUCGAGCUCGGGUUGUGGCCUAACUGCAGCUCUACAAAAAUAUUUUUCGACAUCUUUGCUUAAGUGUCAUUUAAUUUUAUCGGAGGAUAUUCUUGACUUUUCGCAAUACUUCAUGCAACGUGUCUUUAACCCUGCAACUGAAUCUCUAUUUCAUCUUCUCGAUUUUGCUUAUUUUGGCAUUUGAAGCAAUAUAUAAUGAAUUACUCAUUGGGCUAUGUUGGUUGUUCUUGGUGCUUUGAAUCCCGUCAGUUUGCCGAACCAAUUAAAUCUUUCGUUUAUGUGUUAUUGCUAGAUUCCCUUUGCUAACAGGUGAUGCUACCAGUUUCUAUUGAUAUUAUGAGUUCUUAUAAUAUACAUGCUUCAGCUUUGGCGAAUUUACGAGAUCCAAGUUAUCAUCCGCCAAAUUUCUGACCUAGAUUUUUUUAUCCAUUAAGGUAUUCACAUAGUUCAAAAUUUUGUUUUACUGCUCCUUUUUC